GGAACAGCGGUGAACGGGGUCUGAAGUUCAACUGUGCCGUGGCGUCUUCUCCGCGGCCAGAUCUGAGUGCCUCGCAGCAGCCGAAGGCGGGUUUGCAGGUUGCGUUGCGCUGGCCCUGCCCUCGGCAGGCAGAACCGGAUAGAGCUCGGACAGGCGCCGUCACUCCCAGAUUGCUCUGCGUCCUUGGCAGAGCCACUCCUCCUUGUAGGCUGAAAGCCAAAGCUCUUCAUCUUUUUACAACUCAGAAAAAAAAGACAAGGGUGCCCUCUGUCUGGCCUUGCCACUGUUCAACCUGGUACUUGCAAGUCUUGUCCAGUGCAAUGGGAUGAGAAAAGUGAGUGAUAGAAGGAUUGGAAGCAAAAUGACAGCAUUGUUAUUGUCAAGUGAUGAUCAUCGACAUGGAAAACAAGAAUCAACAGAAAAAUUAACCUAAUGAGAGAGUUGCACAAAGUAAAAAUUCCAGCCCAUUUGUUUUGGAACUUGAGAAACUUGAUUCUUAACGUUUAUGGAAGAAUAAAAAUCCAUGAUCUGCUAAGACAAUCUUGAAAAAGGACAAAGGGAACUCUUAUUCAACAGGCAUUGAAACGGAUUACAAAGGCAUAGUAAUUAAAACAAUGUGGUAUUGGUACAGAAAAACAGCACAGACAAAUGGAGAUUCCCUGACUUUUAAAAACAAAACAAAACAUUUUUCAAUAAUGGGACAGCAGUCUAGGGGCCUUUCAGAAGAAACUGAGGACCAAAGGAUGCAACUGAGUGCUGUCAGCUCAAGUGGCAAAUGAAGUCAUCAGCUCCAGGGUCUUGCUCUGUCACCCAGGUUAGAGUGAAGUGGCAUGAUCUCGGCUCGCUGCAACCUACGACUCCCUGGUUCAAGCAAUUGUCGUGCCUCAGUCUCCUGAGUAGCUGGGAUUAUAGGCGUGCACCACAUCCAUCUAAUUUUUGUAUUUUUAGUAGACAGUGUUUCGCCAUGUUGGCCAGGCUGGAGUCAAACUCCUGGCCUCAAGUGAUCUGCCUGCCUCGGCCUCCCAAAGUGCUGGGAUUACAGGUGUGAGCCACUGUCCCGGCCUGAGCCACUGUGCCCGGCCCUGGCUAAUUUUUAAAUUAUUUGUAGAGACAGGGAUCCCUCUAUGUUGCUCAGGAUGGUUUUGAACUCCAGUGCUCAAGUGAUUCUCCUGCCUCGACCUCCCAAAGUGCCGGAAUUACAGGUGUGAGCUACCACGCCCAGCCAGCUAUGGUUUUUGUAACCUUGUUUUGGCAUUUUUUUUCUGACUCUUCAAAGAAUAUUUCGGCAACUUCAGAGUGGCCAGGCAGGAAGUCCAGAACUGGACAACUGAGAAACCAUUCCCAUUUUGCAAAUGAGGAAAUAGAAGCACAGGAAAAUGGAGUUGAUUGUUAGUUCUCGGACAUCCUUUGGCGCAGACUGGAGGAUCUCAAUGAACAUGA
This is a long non-coding RNA of Symphalangus syndactylus (siamang), 1440 nucleotides long. RefSeq lists it as uncharacterized. NCBI's taxonomy places the organism in Eukaryota, Metazoa, Chordata, Mammalia, Primates, Hylobatidae. The record is from RefSeq and is a predicted model, not a curated record.